GGGGGUUAGCUCAGCUGGCUAGAGCACCUGCCUUGCACGCAGGGGGUCAUCGGUUCGACUCCGAUAUCCUCCA
Molecule: transfer RNA, 73 nt
Filed under: Bacteroidota bacterium
Lineage: Bacteria; Pseudomonadati; Bacteroidota
Description: Bacteroidetes bacterium tRNA-Ala
Rfam family: tRNA
About the family: Transfer RNA (tRNA) molecules are approximately 80 nucleotides in length. Their secondary structure includes four short double-helical elements and three loops (D, anti-codon, and T loops).
Source: RNAcentral